RNAcentral lists this ribosomal RNA (506 nucleotides) under uncultured bacterium. RNAcentral describes it as "partial 16S ribosomal RNA". It matches the Rfam family "Bacterial small subunit ribosomal RNA", at positions 28 to 523 of the family's 1533-position model. The record is from RNAcentral.
GAUGAACGCUAGCUACAGGCUUAACACAUGCAAGUCGAGGGGUAACGAGAGGAAAGCUUGCUUUCCUUGUCGACGACCGGCGCACGGGUGAGUAACGCGUAUCCAACCUGCCCCCAACUAGGGAAUAACCUUGCGAAAGUAAGACUAAUACCCUAUAAUUUCCUCAGAUGUCAUCUGACGAGGAAUAAAGAUUUAUCGGUUGUGGAUGGGGAUGCGUCUGAUUAGCUUGUUGGCGGGGUAACGGCCCACCAAGGCAACGAUCAGUAGGGGUUCUGGGAGGAAGGGCACCCACAUGAGAACUGAGACACGGUCCAAACGCCUACGGGAGGCAGCAGUGAGGAAUAGUGGUCAAUGGGCGGAAGCCUGAACCAGCCAAGUAGCGUGCAGGAUGACGGCCCUAUGGGUUGUAAACUGCUUUUAUACAGGAAUAAAGUUAGCCACGUGUGGUUAUUUGUAGGUACUGUAUGAAUAAGGACCGGCUAAUUCCGUGCCAGCAGCCGCCGUAA